Long non-coding RNA from Pan troglodytes (chimpanzee), 397 nucleotides. RefSeq lists it as uncharacterized. The record is from RefSeq and is a predicted model, not a curated record. The transcript has 3 exons. Lineage: Eukaryota; Metazoa; Chordata; Mammalia; Primates; Hominidae.
UCCUCUUCCUCCUCAGCCUACUCAGCAUGAAAUUAUGAGUACAAAAACCUUUAUGAUGACCUACCUCCACUUGGAUCAAUGAAGAAACCAGAACUCGGGACAACUUCUAUCAAGAAAAGAAGCUGCUCAUCUGAAAGACAGCAGCACAUCCAUGUGCCAGGCAUGCUCUUCUUUCAGUCCAUAGUUAAGUUGAGGUGUACAUAUAUGAACCUGUGUACUUGUGUUAUACUCACCAGAACUCCACAGCAUCACAAGCUGGGACAACAUCCUCACACUGUGGAGCAAGAAGACAACUUAAUUAAGAGACAGCAUUUAAUGACAAGGAAAGAAAAUGUUCCUUAUCUCGUAAAUUCCUUCGCUAAUGGAAUCUUCCAGCCCACCCUGGGUAAGUAGGUUG